Molecule: long non-coding RNA, 1081 nt
Organism: Girardinichthys multiradiatus
Lineage: Eukaryota; Metazoa; Chordata; Actinopteri; Cyprinodontiformes; Goodeidae
Exons: 2
Source: RefSeq, a predicted model, not a curated record
UCUCAACCUUGUGGAUUACUGAGUCAGAGAGCAGGACCCUGUAGUCCGCAAACCCCCCUCCACAUCAGGAUCCCAUACAAAUCUGGAGCUCGAUGGCUGCAUGCAACGCCUAUAAGAGCUUAGACUCCAGAUUAAUAUUUUUCUAAAUCUAUGUUAACUUUCAAAAACAGGGAAUAGGAUGCGACAAACGCGGCUGGAGGUGGAUGAACGCAUCUGAUGUGGAAACGCGACAAGUGGCUCCUUUUAUGUAGAAGGAUGUCAGCCUUUUCUGCCUGACUGUUUCCGAGAACGCUUGAUGUCAAAUUGUCUACCUGAUCAUUUCGCUACCAACUUUCCUCCACAAUGCUGCUCCACCACUCAUGAUGCUUGGCUGACCCCGUCUCUGACACCAUCAUGUUAUUGUAUGCUACAACCCAGCAGGCUGUUCUUCUUCUCUCCUUCCUGCAGCCAUAAGCUCAGGCAACAAUUCCUCUGCUUGGAUGAUGAUUUCUGCUGCUGCUCAGUGAACAGAAAGCCCCACAAAUCAUCUUUCAGCAUCUGCCACUGUUUACUACUCCUGCUUGUAUUUCUUUCAGUGUUGCUUGAAGUUUAAAGAGGCAAUGCAGCAGUAAAUGGAAAUAAAUUUAACAUGCACAGCUUUUUAAAAGCAGCCUGGUGUCUUUCAUAGCUGUAGUUAACAUGUAUUAGUAUGUUUAUGAGUAAAAAUAAAUGAUUUAUUUUUUACAUGCAAUUCUGGGGUAUUACAAAAUAUUUUAAGUAGAACCUAUUCAGUUAUGUAAUACUUAUUAAUGUUCUUAGGUUUAUUUCUGCUAUUAUUUACCAGGUUUAUGUCAUUAUGUAUCUUCAGUCUAGUUUUCUUUAGUAUUUAUGAAUGAUUCUUUUGGUGGCAAAAUAAUAAUAUAUAACUGUCUCUUUUUCCACACAUAAUGUCACGCAAAAAUGUUCAUAAUCUUCAAACAUUUAGUCAUGUUACUAAUGGGAUUUAAUAUGAGACACCAACACAAAUAGUGCAUAAUUAUGAAAAUGAAGGAAAAUGACGCAUGGCUUUCAAAACGUUUUCCAAAUAAAAAUGUGAAAUAUG